GAUAAGAACGUAGCGAAAUGCGAUAAGUAAUGUGAAUUGCAGAAUUCAGUGAAUCAUCGAAUCUUUGAACGCACAUUGCGCCCCCUGGUAUUCCGGGGGGCAUGCCUGUUCGAGCGUCAUUUCAACCCUCAAGCUCUGCUUGGUAUUGAGUCCAUGUCAGCAAUGGCAGGCUCCAAAAUCAGUGGCGGCGCCGCUGGGUCCUGAACGUAGUAAUAUCUCUCGUUACAGGUGCUCGGCGUGCUUCUGCCAAAACCCCAAUUUUUCUAUGGUUGACCUCGGAUCAGGUAGGGAUACCCGCUGAACUUAAGCAUAUCAAUAAGCGGAGGA
This 327-nucleotide unclassified non-coding RNA is filed under the name soil metagenome. RNAcentral's name for it is "partial contains 5.8S ribosomal RNA, internal transcribed spacer 2, and large subunit ribosomal RNA". The stretch from base 4 to 119 matches the Rfam family "5.8S ribosomal RNA", at positions 39 to 154 of the family's 154-position model. The record is from RNAcentral.